This 465-nucleotide ribosomal RNA is filed under the name uncultured bacterium. RNAcentral describes it as "partial 16S ribosomal RNA". It matches the Rfam family "Bacterial small subunit ribosomal RNA", at positions 338 to 795 of the family's 1533-position model. The record is from RNAcentral.
CCUACGGGAGGCAGCAGUGGGGAAUAUUGCGCAAUGGCCGAAAGCCUGACGCAGCGACGCCGCGUGAGGGAUGAAGGCCUUCGGAUCGUAAACCUCUGUCAGCAGGGAAGCACGGUCACUGUGCUAAUCAGCAGUGAAUUGACGGUACCUGCAAAGGAAGCACCGGCUAACUCCGUGCCAGCAGCCGCGGUAAUACGGAGGGUUCGGGCGUUGAUCGGAAUUACUGGGGGUAAUGCGGUCGUAGGGCGGAGGUCAAGUCUAGGGUGAAAUCCCCGGGGUCAACGUGGGAACUGCCUUUGAAACUGGCAAACUUGAGUGUGUGAGAGGAUAGUGGAAUUCCAGGUGUAGGGGUGAAAUCCGUAGAUAUCUGGAAGAACAUCAGUGGCGAAGGCGACUAUCUGGCACAUAACUGACGCUGAGGAGCGAAAGCGUGGGUAGCAAACAGGAUUAGAUACCCGAGUAGUC